Molecule: long non-coding RNA, 1010 nt
Organism: Aquila chrysaetos chrysaetos
Lineage: Eukaryota; Metazoa; Chordata; Aves; Accipitriformes; Accipitridae
Exons: 5
Source: RefSeq, a predicted model, not a curated record
UUUGGGAUAACUUUACAGGAAGUAAUAUGCUUCUCAUAAUUUUCUCAUUGUAUAUUUUGAAGUAUAAACUAAAUAAACAACUAUAAUGAGCCAUCGGGGUGCUCAGCAACAGAAGAGUAUCAGGUUGUAGUUACACAGAUGAUAGCUACAUCAAUGACAGAGCUAACCAUCAAUAGAAAUAAAAUCCGCUGGAUUUCAAAGAAGCUUUGGAAAAACAAGAAAAAUCAAAUUCAAUCUAAUAAAAACAAGAAUAAUUUCUGGAUUACAAUGUGGUUCUGAAACUGUGUAUCAACAAAGGUGAAUUUUACAUCGCACUCUAAUUCUCAGACACGGAGCAAAUUUUAUUUCAGAGAAGAAUGCAAUUUCAAAAGUACAAUGACUAUACUCUCCAUGAAAAAGUAAAAUAUUUGGGAGUAACUAAGAAAUGAGACAGAGAAACUGUAAUGAUGACCAUAUCCUCCUACUGACUUAUGCUGAAGACAAAAUAAAAGUUCCAAUCUUGCUACUAGACAAAUGAUUGUUCCCACCCUCUUUAUGUGUCUCAUUCUUAAUGGAGAAGCAUGUAAAAAUAACCUGAAGCUAAAAGUAGAGAACUCUAGAGAAGGAAGAAGGAAGAUGAACCCAUCCACUUGUCUGUUAUGACAAAUUAGUGUUGCUCUGAGGCCAUUUUGAGGCCAUUUCCACCUGUAUGAGGCCUGUAUUUGCUCCCCUCUCCAAACAGUAUGUUAGUCACCUUUUCAUAAUGGCCCUCCUUACUUGUUUUUCUUUUCUUCAGACCAUUUGACACAGUCUGCUGUUUUACUAGGCAUUCAGAAGGCUUUAGCAUGCCUUCUAAUCAUAGCAUAUUAAAGAACAAGCAAAUGUUAAUGUCUUGAUUCAAACUAAAAUAUUAAUGUUACUAAAUUAUUUUCCAGAGAAAUACUGUGGCUAUUUAUUUUUAUUAUUUCAUUUAUUUUCUAGAGAAAGUAUUACGGCCAACACCCCACAAAUGCAUAAUCACUGUAUGGAGG